Oncorhynchus tshawytscha (Chinook salmon) is the source of this 158-nucleotide long non-coding RNA. RefSeq lists it as uncharacterized. The record is from RefSeq and is a predicted model, not a curated record. NCBI's taxonomy places the organism in Eukaryota, Metazoa, Chordata, Actinopteri, Salmoniformes, Salmonidae. The transcript has 3 exons.
AGGAAACGACCUCGCUCGGCUGGCCUGGGAAGUAAACACUUGCCUAAAAAUGAUGAACAUAGAGCACGAGGCUUUCUGCAAGCUCCGCCGCUCCAUGCACCCCACCUCGCCAGCUGACAUCGAUCCUAAGGUCCACAGCAUCGUGGAGAAAGCUGUGA